AUAUUCUCAGGGAAAAGGAAAACAUACUGAAAUUUUGUCUUGAUGAAAUGUCAACAAAUAAGGAAUUGAGAGGUAGAUGGAAUGAAAUAACACCGAAUUCAGACAUGGUAGCAUCUGUUGUGGUUUUGCAAAGAAUUGUCACUUUCUUCCUUAAGUCGAAGCAGCAAAUAAUUCGUGAAAAAGAAGGCCUUAAGCCGAAGAAAAAUAGCAUCGCUCACCGACAGCAAUUAAGUCGAAAUAAAAAAUGCUCUGCUGUAUCCCACACUCGGACAACAGUGGAUCAAUCCCACACUCAGACAACAGUGGAUCAAUCCCACACUCAGACAACAGUGGAUCAAUCACAUAUACAAACCUUGAGAAACAAUUUCAACAGUUCUUCAUUACAUGUGUUUUUACUUCAUUUGCAAACUCUGCCUUUUUCAGAACAGAAAAAUAUUUUGACAAAAUUCAAAGGGAAGGAACUUGGUAAAAUAUUGAAGUCAUUGGGACAGCCAGCAUUUUUUGGGAAAAAAAAAGAGAAACAAAUACAGACCCUCUUGGAUACAAUAAAGAGAGGACAGAUAUGCAUAAAUUUUCCCAAAGAGUUGGCAAAAUAACUCUCAAAGAUAAACUGGCCACAGUUGCGAGCAAUUUGGUGGCAGAAUAUGUGAUAGCACUGUUUACGUUAUAUCCAUAAGCAAUUGCAGUCAUGUUGGUUGUACCGCCACAUGAUUGCCUUUGCACCGAGAAGAAAGACUCAACUAGAUCUUGACUUAGUCGCUUUGGAAUCACAUAAUGGCUUCCUUGGAGGGAUUGGAUUUCAGGACUUCCAAUGAAUUUAACAAGUUCCUUAAAGCCGUUAAUUGAAACCUGCAAAGUCAAAGAAAACAGUUGGUCAAAUAAUAUUCAUUCCCAAGUUCAUACAUUCACUUUUUAAGUUCAAAAGGGUUUUGAUAUGAAUUUUAAAUUUUAUUAGAUAUGUAUGUGAAGAGUUAACUAAAAAUACUGGGUUGAUUAUAGUUAAUUAUGGCUUUCAAAUCAACUAUCAAAUCCGAUUAUUUUGCAUAGAUCAAAAAGUAGUCAUUAUG
This is a long non-coding RNA of Dendronephthya gigantea, 1067 nucleotides long. RefSeq lists it as uncharacterized. Lineage: Eukaryota; Metazoa; Cnidaria; Anthozoa; Malacalcyonacea; Nephtheidae. The transcript is spliced from 3 exons. The record is from RefSeq and is a predicted model, not a curated record.